Molecule: ribosomal RNA, 497 nt
Filed under: uncultured bacterium
Lineage: Bacteria
Description: partial 16S ribosomal RNA
Rfam family: Bacterial small subunit ribosomal RNA
Source: RNAcentral
GAUGAACGCUGGCGGCGUGCCUAAUACAUGCAAGUCGAGCGAACAGAUAAGGAGCUUGCUCCUUUGACGUUAGCGGCGGACGGGUGAGUAACACGUGGGUAACCUACCUAUAAGACUGGGAUAACUUCGGGAAACCGGAGCUAAUACCGGAUAAUAUUUCGAACCGCAUGGUUCGAUAGUGAAAGAUGGUUUUGCUAUCACUUAUAGAUGGACCCGCGCCGUAUUAGCUAGUUGGUAAGGUAACGGCUUACCAAGGCGACGAUACGUAGCCGACCUGCGAGGGUGAUCGGCCACACUGGAACUGAGACACGGUCCAGACUCCUACGGGAGGCAGCAGUAGGGAAUCUUCCGCAAUGGGCGAAAGCCUGACGGAGCAACGCCGCGUGAGUGAUGAAGGUCUUCGGAUCGUAAAACUCUGUUAUUAGGGAAGAACAUACGUGUAAGUAACUGUGCACGUCUUGACGGUACCUAAUCAGAAAGCCACGGCUAACUACGUG